CCCAAGCUUAAGCUUGUCGAAUAAACCCUCAUGUGAUUGCUUCGGUGCUUGGCUCUUUGGUGGUCUCUCAGACGCGAAAACUCGGGCACAGCAACAUAACAUAUUUGGGCUUGGCAGAGAUUUUGUACAGAAACAGUAAAAUAAACGAAAACGGUAUUCGGUGAAACUGCCUCGUGGUACACAGGGACAUCCUUACCUGCAUGAUCUGCUCUGAUUUAGGGGAGAAGAGACAUGGUUUGUUGUGCAGGAUGGAGAGUGGUCACCGUGUGCCAGCUGGGUGGCCUUGCUUUGUUUCCAUCUGAGAGGAUAUUUCCUGUAUUGCACACUGUCAUGAAGAAAAAUUAGGA
Mustela erminea (ermine) is the source of this 347-nucleotide long non-coding RNA. RefSeq lists it as uncharacterized. NCBI's taxonomy places the organism in Eukaryota, Metazoa, Chordata, Mammalia, Carnivora, Mustelidae. The transcript is spliced from 3 exons. The record is from RefSeq and is a predicted model, not a curated record.